This 888-nucleotide long non-coding RNA is filed under the name Olea europaea (common olive). Its description in RNAcentral is "long non-coding RNA (OEUR_LNC014000)". Lineage: Eukaryota; Viridiplantae; Streptophyta; Magnoliopsida; Lamiales; Oleaceae. The record is from RNAcentral.
AUACUUUGAAGAAUCAAAAGCCUGCAUGAAGGGGAAGCAUUAAGUAGGAGCCCAACACGAUGUAUCUUCACAUUAUUCUUUCAAAAUGUGAAUCAAGGUAUGAAAUUUUAAACCCUAUAAUUUUUGCAUUUUGCGGAUUUUUCAAUUCUCGAACUUAGGAGAAUUUUGGGAAGAAAAAUGUGGAGAAUAUAACUACAUUGAUUGAUGGGAGUUGGAAGAUGUCUUUUGUUUGCCAAAAAUUAUGAAAAAACAAAUAAUCCGUUCAUUUUUUCCUUCAAACCCGAAUUUGAAUUCACCUUUGGGAAUCUUUGAAAUUCAAAUUUUUGGUAUAUGUAAGUGAUUCUUUGAUGGAGUUUGGGACUAAGAAUAGAUGUUGAAGGAUAUGGGUUAUGGUUGUGUGCAAACAUUGGGAUCAAACACCUCCCAACUUCAACAAAUUCGAAGUGGACUUUUCAUGAACACAAAUUAUUCCAUGAAAAUCCACAUUGAACUUUACAUUCUUCUUUUUGCACCAAAUUCGAACAAUAAUGAGUCUAAAGAUUAAUGGUGGUGGUAAAAAUUUUGCAUUUGCAUUGGAAUCAAGGAAUUUUUUGCACAAACGCAUGCAACGGACUGCGUCCCCUACGUUUCCUGCCUUUGUCCCCCCUGCCCCCCAUUUCGUCUUCUUGUUUAGUCACCCUCCGUUCCCUAUUUUUGCAAGAAAUUUGAUGUGGUUGAAUAUUUUUCAUUCAUUAUGGGUUACAAUGUAUUCCAUGAUUUUCAUUGUAGGUAAAUAUAACAUUAAACUUCGAAGACACCUUCAAAAGAGUAGAAAAGGAAAAAGGGAAAAGGGAAGUCGAAUAGAGAUUCUUCAAAUUUCAGCUAUGCGCCCAUCAUCCUAUUUAUAUG